Molecule: long non-coding RNA, 261 nt
Filed under: Lathyrus oleraceus (garden pea)
Lineage: Eukaryota; Viridiplantae; Streptophyta; Magnoliopsida; Fabales; Fabaceae
Description: Pisum sativum (pea) long non-coding RNA (PSAT_LNC018667)
Source: RNAcentral
UAGAAUAUAGGAUGCUCUUAGUCUCGAUCUUUUUUUUUUUUUAAUGUAGAUUAGUCAAAAUAUUUAUUGGUGUCUUUUUCUUCAUAGAUACUCCGAUCCAUUGAAAUAUAUCAAAUAAGACUUUUCUAACAAGGUUGUGCUGGUACUUAAAGUUUGAAAGCUUCUUAUAAUGAAUUGUGUGUUCCCCAAAAGUAACCAAACACAUUUUACGACAAACAAGACAAACCUCAUCAAUAGAAAAUAAGUUAAUCAUAAGGCGAU